GACGGAGGGUGCAAGCGUUGCUCGGAAUUACUGGGCGUAAAGCGCACGUAGGCGGCUAAAUAAGUCUGAUGUGAAAGCCCACGACUCAAUCGUGGAAGUGCAUUGGAUACUGCUUGGCUAGAGUACAGGAGGGGUAAGCGGAAUUCCUGGUGUAGAGGUGAAAUUCGUAGAUAUCAGGAGGAACAACGGAGGCGAAGGCGGCUUACUGGACUGUAACUGACGCUGAGGUGCGAAAGUGUGGGGAGCGAACAGG
Molecule: ribosomal RNA, 253 nt
Filed under: uncultured bacterium
Lineage: Bacteria
Description: partial 16S ribosomal RNA
Rfam family: Bacterial small subunit ribosomal RNA
Source: RNAcentral